Molecule: long non-coding RNA, 669 nt
Organism: Colias croceus (clouded yellow)
Lineage: Eukaryota; Metazoa; Arthropoda; Insecta; Lepidoptera; Pieridae
Exons: 2
Source: RefSeq, a predicted model, not a curated record
UGGCUUUUUAUUUCGAAAAUUUAUAUGGCAACACUUAUAAUUACGUCAUUGUCAUUAAAACCUGAGUUGUUGAUGUGUCAAAGUGAAAAUUAUUUCCCCGAUUUUAGUGAUUUCUAAUUGAAAACGAGACGAAAACAUUGAAAUGCGACUUAAAAAAGGUUCUUUUUACUAUGAUUAGUAAAUUUGAAAAGAAACAAGUUGAAAGAGAUGUAGUUUUCAAGGAAAAAUAAGAGUGUUUACGUGAAAUAUCUCAAUGCAUUGUAACAUGGAUGAUACCAAUAGUCCAGUUAUAAACUAUUCAAGCAACAAUAAAAAAAAUUGAAUGAUCUGUUUCGUUCAAAAUGUUUAAAGACACAAAAUCAGUAUCUUAACGAGAUUUCUUCUAUGACCGGACCAUGUUAUUCGUGUUGAAGAUAGUAUAAAAAACGAAAUGGAAUAACUGCAGAAAUGGAAGGGUUCAUAAUAAGAGUCAGAGAUAAUGAUAGUGAUUCUUACUAUUCACUCGCGGUUGAAUUUUUAGAUUUAAUAUGAUUAUAUUGAUUAAACAAACUUUAAUUGUAUUUUUAUUGUGUUUUUUCUUGCUUUCAUUCGGUGUUCUUUUUUGUCUAUCUGUAUCACUUAACUGUACUAAGUAUAUUACAUAAAACAAUAUUAUAAAGAUGAAGAGUU